UACAGAGGGGGCAAGCGUUAUUCGGAAUUAUUGGGCGUAAAGGGCGCGUAGGCGGCUUUGCAAGUGGCGGGUGAAAUCCCUCGGCUUAACCGAGGAACUGCCUGCCAGACUGUGAGGCUUGAGACCGGGAGAGGUGAGUGGAAUUCCCAGUGUAGCGGUGAAAUGCGUAGAUAUUGGGAGGAACACCGGUGGCGAAGGCGGCUCUCUGGACGGUGACUGACGCUGAGACGCGAAAGCGUGGGGAGCAAACAGG
Molecule: ribosomal RNA, 253 nt
Filed under: uncultured bacterium
Lineage: Bacteria
Description: partial 16S ribosomal RNA
Rfam family: Bacterial small subunit ribosomal RNA
Source: RNAcentral